GCCUGAGUGGCUCAGUGGUUGAGCAUCUGCCUUUGGCUCAGGUCAUGAUCCUGGGGCCCAGGAUCGAGUCCUGAGUUAGGCU
RNAcentral lists this transfer RNA (82 nucleotides) under Canis lupus familiaris (dog). It matches the Rfam family "tRNA". From Rfam's summary of the family: Transfer RNA (tRNA) molecules are approximately 80 nucleotides in length. Their secondary structure includes four short double-helical elements and three loops (D, anti-codon, and T loops). The record is from Rfam by way of RNAcentral. RNAcentral also lists the same sequence under 1 other name. Lineage: Eukaryota; Metazoa; Chordata; Mammalia; Carnivora; Canidae.